UACGGAGGGUGCAAACGUUGCUCGGAAUCAUUGGGCGUAAAGCGCACGUAGGCGGUCCCGCAAGUCGGGUGUGAAAGCCCUCGGCUUAACCGAGGAAGUGCAUUCGAAACUACUGGACUUGAAUACUGGAGAGGAUCGCGGAAUUCCCGGUGUAGAGGUGAAAUUCGUAGAUAUCGGGAGGAACACCAGUGGCGAAGGCGGGUCUCUGGGCCGAUACUGACGCUGAGGAGCGAAAGCGUGGGGAGCGAACAGG
This 253-nucleotide ribosomal RNA is filed under the name uncultured bacterium. RNAcentral's name for it is "partial 16S ribosomal RNA". It matches the Rfam family "Bacterial small subunit ribosomal RNA", at positions 524 to 776 of the family's 1533-position model. The record is from RNAcentral.